AGGCAGCCCCUAUUGCCGGAGAAAAAGAGAUGGCAUAGGAGGUGUUGCUUUGCUCCCAAAUCAAUAUCUUUUGCUCUUCAGAUGUGCUGAGAUGGGAAUGAGAUCUCUCUUCUCUUCUUUGAAGCUCGUCUAGUAAGCUCAAGUACAUC
Small nucleolar RNA from Magnolia sinica, 149 nucleotides. RefSeq annotates it as small nucleolar RNA snoR77. The record is from RefSeq and is a predicted model, not a curated record. The transcript has a single exon. Lineage: Eukaryota; Viridiplantae; Streptophyta; Magnoliopsida; Magnoliales; Magnoliaceae.